Triticum dicoccoides is the source of this 4339-nucleotide long non-coding RNA. RefSeq lists it as uncharacterized. Lineage: Eukaryota; Viridiplantae; Streptophyta; Magnoliopsida; Poales; Poaceae. The record is from RefSeq and is a predicted model, not a curated record. The transcript is spliced from 10 exons.
CGAAGCCGUCUCCGGCAAGGACCCGGCCGGCGGCACGGCCUCUUCCCCGGCAGCCCGCCCGCGGCCAGGCGCUCCCUUUCCUCCCUCCGCGCGCUCUGGCCGUGGCCGUGGCCGGUCUGCUCCUCCUCUCUUCGUCCCGGGCCCCGGGCCGUGCCUCUCGCCUCGCCUCCUCGCGUCCGGUUUGGAUUCGCUCCUCCUCGAUUCGUCGCCUGUUUAGGCUUAGAACCGCGCCUGAUUUGGUUUUUGCUCGCGCUCGAUUCGUCAGUUCAGAAAUCGCGCCUGGUUUGGUUUUGCUCGUCCUCGCCGUCCCCCGUUUGUGCGUCGCGUCCGGUUCGAUUUUGCUCGUCCACGCCGCCGUCGUCCGUGUAGGGUCGCUUCUGGUUCGAUUUUGCACCUCCUCGCCGCCGUCGUCCGUGUAGGGUCGCGCCUGGUUCGAUUUUGCUCGUCCUCGCCGUCGUCGUCCGUGUAGGGUCGCGCCUGGUUCAGUUUCGCUCGUCCUCGCCGUCGUCCGUGUAGAGUCGCGCCUGGUUCGAUUUCGCUCAUCCUCGCCGUUGUCCCGAUGCGCUCGCGUGUUCUUGGUCCGUCUCGCCUCGUCGGGGGUCUCCUCCAUCUCGUUUGCGUGCUAGCAAUUUUGUCAAUGCGCGCUUCUGUUAUCCGAACGGGUAUGGUUUUUGUGCUAGCAGUCCUGGGUUUCGUGUUCGCGUUGGUUGCAGGAACGAACGGGUCUGGUUUCGAAAUUGGAUUACGUUCGGUAUCGUGCUAGUUCAGACUGGUUCCUCCGUUCGGUCACCUACGUUGCUCUUGGUGAUUUUCAGGACUCAAACGUAUGCUCUCUUGUGAUACUCUGUCAAUUCUUGGCCCCCUGUCAGUUCUUGUUGGCCCUCUGUCAAUUCUUGCGUUUCAGGGUCUGUUAAUUCUUGACUUCUUGUUGUACUGGCUAGGCGUGUGUGCUCUCAUCCUAAAUUCAGAGAUGGGGUGAUUCCUUACGCUUGAUCUAAUGCUCUAUACUGUUUAUGUUCUUUCCAAUUUGUUUCUUUAUAUCAUGCUUUGCUUGUGUGUUCCGAGCAGAAAAGUUUUACAAGAGUGCAAACCAUGUGGCCUGCUGCUUGACUAAUUGAACACCUGUUGCUGCUACUGUUGGACAAGGUCCCUUCUUUUCUUCUUGAUGUUGCUAUUUCCAUUCAACUACUCAUAGGAGUUCUAGAUGAGCUGCUGCUAGUUAGUUCCCCUUAGACUACAUUUUAGAUUGCAUAGCAUAAUUCCAGAGUUUUGUCAUAUAAUUCUGUUGUGAGCAUAACUCCAGAAUUUAUUUAUCCGUGAAAGCACGUUCAUCACAUGUUUUUUAGCAAUGCUGCUACCUGCUAACUUCUGUCAUGUCCCUUUACUUUGGACAACAGUUGCAACGAACCUAUAACAUGGACAUGUGCUGCUUGUUUUCUUCUGAUGAUAGUGAUCCAAUUGAGUAGCCCAACUCUUAUGCUCUGACAUUUGUUAAUCCCCAGUUAGUGUGCAUGAAAAAGUAUUGUUUGUCAUGUUAAAUUUUAUGGCAUCAACUCGGUAUUGUGAUUGAUGACUUAGUAUUUGUUUAGUGUAGACAGUUGACUUCUUUUUUCUUAAAUUUUUAGUGAUAUGCAUAUGUUUUGUUAUGUCUUAUGUGGAUAUCAUAUUCUUUUUUUUUUUUGUAUUACUAAUGUCCAGUCAAUGGAAAAUGCUUUUCUUGCUUUGCCUAGACUUUGUGACAAUUAACUUAUAGUGCGAUCAUUGAUCAUUGAGCUUCUGACACCCUAUUCCGUAAAAUUCUGUUGUAAUGUUUGCUGGAUCAUUGAGUAGUUAAUAUUGAUUCUGAGUGUGUUGGAUCAUUAACUUCUGCGUGCACUUCGGUUAUCUGGGAGACACUCACGACUCUGUGUUUCGUAUUCGUGGCGGAGCGAUGAAUGAUUACGUUUCAUGUCCCUGUGUUUCGUGUUCGCCCGUCUGGUUUUGAGUUUGGAUUACAGAGACGGGGAGAGGCCAAAGCAAGGUCAGUUUAUCGUGUUCGCUCAUAUCGGUUCCUCGGUUCCGUCGCUGCGUUGUUCGUCGGCGAUUUCCAGACCUCAAACGCAUGCGCCUUUGUGAUACUCUAGUUUGGCUCGUUGGUCGUUAUGGUUGUUCGUUAAGGUUGUUCUUAUAUUCUUGAAUCACCCAUCUUAUAAGCAGAGAUGGGGUGAUACAUUAUGGUUGUUCUGAUGGUUGUUUAUUUAGUGUUCUUUCCAAUUGGGUUCUUCUUGUCAUGCUUUGCUUAUGUUCCCAAUGUUUGUCUCUCCAUAUAUGGGGAUGCGUUCAGGGGUGCAAACCGUGUAGGCCGUGGUGUGUUUUAUACUAUCUGAUGUGAAGGUGGAAAUAUUGAUAUCACUUCUGUGUUAGUAUACUUGAUAUGGUGUGUUUUAUACUUCAAGUAAUUAACCACAUCUCUUACAAAUUUUCCUUGAGAUACAUGUUCAUAUGGCAGGAGCGAUUGUCUUGACGAAUAAUCAUUUAUGCUUACUUGGUAUUGGUAGUUCCCGAUCAUAGGUAACAGACCAGUACUUGUUUAGUGCAGACAACUGACUAUUCUUUUUUUCUGAUCUUUUCUGUGAUAUGUGUGUUAUGUGGAUAUCAACUAAUGCUUUUCUAAGUAUUUAAGGUACAGACAUGUGGAUCUGGACAUUUCACAUUUGCUCUAUAUUGUGUUGCUAAGGACACUUGUUUAGUGCAGACAACUGACUAUUCUUUUUUUCUGAUCUUUUCUGUGAUAUGUGUGUUAUGUGGAUAUCAUAUUCUAAUGCUUUUCUAAGUAUUUAAGGUACAGACAUGUGGAUCUGGACAUUUCACAUUUGCUCUAUAUUGUGUUGCUAAGGACACUGAGCGGUUUGGCUGGGCCACCGCACAGCCUGGCUAAUCAGGAAGUGUUGUUAUGGAUCAAAUCUGUAAUGGAAGAGACUGAGAGUAACAUUACAACCGACCAACUUAAAGAAUACGUAUGGAAGACACUGGAGAGUGGAAAAGUAGCUGAUCUCAAACUGAGUUAUAUCUAUUCAAUUAUCAAGCACUCAUUCAAGCUCACAUGGGUUGCACUGUAGAAACCUAAAUAUCUACGUAUAGCUUCGUGCAUCAUGUCCCUCUUAUGCACCGCAUUUCAAAAAUCUAAAUAGCCUUGUCUUCUUUAGUGCUACUGUUUGGGAGUUAUUGUUGAAGUUGCAGAAUUGUAUGAAUUUGAACAACAAUGGCUGAGAGCAGCAGAAGUGCUUAGUGGCAUUGACUUGGACUCAAGAAUCAGGAUGCUUGAUGACACAAACAAAUUAUCCAAGGCGUCCAGAUUGCACGACUCUAUUUGGAGUGAAUGCUGAAGCUUUUAUCAACAAAGCCUCAUUUUUGGUCACAAACAGCAACCAGGAAGUUCUGAACUUACAAUACAAGGUCUGCUAUGUGAGAAUUUUAGAUCUAAAGCGUAAAUUCUUGGAAGCUGCACUUCGAUACUACAAUAUCUCUCGAAUUGAGCAAUGCCAAAUUGGGGAUGAGUAAGGUGGCAUAAUCAUCUGAAUCCAGAAAUACAGAGAUGUUUGGACUACUGAGGAGGAACAUGAGGAGGAACAUGCACUGAAUAAUGCCCAUCGGAUAUAUGGGAAUAAAUGGGCAGAAAUAACAAAAGUUCUUCCUUGAAGGAAUGGGGUACUUCCAUUUGUGUAACUUCUAUUUGUUAUCAGUUCUUCUCACCUAUAGCUAAAGUCAAAGAUGCCAAACCAGGUGAAUUAUUGGAGUUGCAAGAUACACAGAAUCAGUCAUCUUAAUCUUCUUUUGUAAAUAUGACUGCUGGUGCUGUUGGUGAAGCUAUCCAUCGGCUUGUAACUCAUGAAAGGCAACCACAGUUGCCAACUUGAAACAUAUAUAUUUUAGGAACGAAGAUCUGAAUCACCCUCACCCCUCGAGAGAAAUCGUUUAGUCAUUCAGGUUCUGGAAUUUCUCUUUAUAGCUUUCUGAGUUUCUUGUUGUUUUUUGUGUGCAAGUGCUCCAUUCUGUGCCUGUCUGACUGUUUGUGGCUUGACUCUCUUGUGUGUGUGGCUUGACUUUCUGUGUGUGGGACUGUGUGUUUGACGGUGUGUGUGUGACUCUAUGCGAAUAUUGCAUUUGACUGUGAUGUGUGACUGUGUGUGUGACUCUGUGCUUGACUGUGUGUGUGACUCUGCGAAUAUUGUGCAUUUGACUGUGAUGUGUGUACCUGUGAAUAUUGCAUUUUAGCAAUGACUGUGUGUGUGAUUGUGUGUGGCUUGUAUGCUUGGUUGAAUGAUUGGUUGGUGUGGCCUAACACUGCCUUUGCCGGUCC